GACGAACGCUGGCGGCGUGCUUAACACAUGCAAGUCGAGCGGUAAGGCCCUUUCGGGGGUACACGAGCGGCGAACGGGUGAGUAACACGUGGGUGACCUGCCCUCAGCUCUGGGAUAAGCCUGGGAAACCGGGUCUAAUACUGGAUAUGACUCCAUGACGCAUGCUGUGGGGUGGAAAGCCUUGUGCGGCUGAGGAUGGGCCCGCGGCCUAUCAGCUUGUUGGUGGGGNGAUGGCCUACCAAGGCGACGACGGGUAGCCGGCCUGAGAGGGCGACCGGCCACACUGGGACUGAGACACGGCCCAGACUCCUACGGGAGGCAGCAGUGGGGAAUCUUGCGCAAUGGGCGAAAGCCUGACGCAGCGACGCCGCGUGAGGGAUGACGGCCU
RNAcentral lists this ribosomal RNA (388 nucleotides) under uncultured bacterium. Its description in RNAcentral is "bacterial SSU rRNA". It matches the Rfam family "Bacterial small subunit ribosomal RNA", at positions 28 to 417 of the family's 1533-position model. The record is from RNAcentral.